Molecule: ribosomal RNA, 26 nt
Organism: Bison bison bison
Lineage: Eukaryota; Metazoa; Chordata; Mammalia; Artiodactyla; Bovidae
Source: Ensembl
CGCCCGAUCUCGUCUGAUCUCGGAAG